UUAAUUAGUAAUAGUUAUGAUCUUGAAAUUUAAAAAAUUUGGCGGUAUUUUAGUCUCUUCAGAGGAACCUGUUCUAUAAUUGAUAGUCCACGAUUAAUUUUACUUAUUUUAUUAAUUUGUAUAUCAUCGUAGUUUGAAUAUUUUAUAAGAAACUAAAUAUUCAAAAUUUUUUAUUAUAAUAGGAAUUCAGAUCAAGGUGCAGUUUAUAAAUAAGAAGAAAUGGGUUACAAUAAAUUUAUUUAUACGGAUUAAAAAUGAAAAUUUUAUUUGAAGGUGGAUUUGAAAGUAAUAAUAUUAAUUUAAUAAUAUGAUUGAGCUCUAAAAUAUGUACACAUCGCCCGUC
RNAcentral lists this ribosomal RNA (343 nucleotides) under Necrophilus hydrophiloides. RNAcentral describes it as "partial 12S ribosomal RNA". The record is from RNAcentral. Lineage: Eukaryota; Metazoa; Arthropoda; Insecta; Coleoptera; Agyrtidae.